AGAGUUUGAUCCUGGCUCAGAUUGAACGCUGGCGGCAGGCCUAACACAUGCAAGUCGAGCGGUAACAGAUCCAGCUUGCUGGAUGCUGACGAGCGGCGGACGGGUGAGUAAUGCAUAGGAAUCUGCCCGGUAGUGGGGGAUAACCUGGGGAAACCCAGGCUAAUACCGCAUACGUCCUACGGGAGAAAGGGGGCUUCGGCUCCCGCUAUCGGAUGAGCCUAUGUCGGAUUAGCUAGUUGGUGAGGUAACGGCUCACCAAGGCCACGAUCCGUAGCUGGUCUGAGAGGAUGAUCAGCCACAUCGGGACUGAGACACGGCCCGAACUCCUACGGGAGGCAGCAGUGGGGAAUAUUGGACAAUGGGCGAAAGCCUGAUCCAGCCAUGCCGCGUGUGUGAAGAAGGCCCUCGGGUUGUAAAGCACUUUCAGCGAGGAAGAACGCCUAGCGGUUAAUACCCGCUAGGAAAGACAUCACUCGCAGAAGAAGCACCGGCUAACUCCGUGCCAGCAGCCGCGGUAAUACGGAGGGUGCAAGCGUUAAUCGGAAUUACUGGGCGUAAAGCGCGCGUAGGUGGCUUGAUAAGCCGGUUGUGAAAGCCCCGGGCUCAACCUGGGAACGGCAUCCGGAACUGUCAAGCUAGAGUGCAGGAGAGGAAGGUAGAAUUCCCGGUGUAGCGGUGAAAUGCGUAGAGAUCGGGAGGAAUACCAGUGGCGAAGGCGGCCUUCUGGACUGACACUGACACUGAGGUGCGAAAGCGUGGGUAGCAAACAGGAUUAGAUACCCUGGUAGUCCACGCCGUAAACGAUGUCGACCAGCCGUUGGGUGCCUAGCGCACUUUGUGGCGAAGUUAACGCGAUAAGUCGACCGCCUGGGGAGUACGGCCGCAAGGUUAAAACUCAAAUGAAUUGACGGGGGCCCGCC
RNAcentral lists this ribosomal RNA (920 nucleotides) under Halomonas sp. RNAcentral describes it as "bacterial SSU rRNA". It matches the Rfam family "Bacterial small subunit ribosomal RNA", at positions 8 to 925 of the family's 1533-position model. The record is from RNAcentral. Lineage: Bacteria; Pseudomonadati; Pseudomonadota; Gammaproteobacteria; Oceanospirillales; Halomonadaceae.